GCCUUCUUGCGGCACAGCCACCAAACACAACACAGCAGCAGUGGCGCAAGCAGCAGGGGCGGCACAAAAUAGAGCCAGUUGCAAAAAAUGCCCUGGCUGAGAAAGACAGCAAUAUGAACCACGCCUAAGGGACAGAGGAAUGCCAGGCCUGGGAGGGCCUGGGUAGCCUCAUCCUGGUGCCCACCACUUGGAGGCCCAUCUGCCCAUUCUCCCUUCUCUACAGGUGGUCCCACCUCAAGGCACAACAGUGGGGCCGGGGGUAAGGGAUGCUUCCAAGGGAACUACAAACCCCUCCUCUGGCCCCGCUGAAAGUCUCUGCCCAAGAGCCCUGCCAAGAAAGUCCCGGAAGCUUCCACUGUCUGACAAACCCACCCUCACUGCACACCUCGCCUGCAGCACAGGGCUUCUGUGAGGACCACAAAAUCUCCAGCUGACUUCAAUGAAGUACUCCCUAAAGCACAGAAAACACAGACGGUGAGAGCCAGCCCAGAGAGAUGCAGUUCUUGACCUUGGCCAGUGGACAGCGUGGGUAAUGAGAGGUCAUUCCCCAAACGCUUGCAGGUAAACUCAGCAAUGAUGACCAAAGGAGUCUGUUGGCUUAACUCUGAGAAGCAACCUGGAGCAAAGGUACCAUUCCUCAGGCAAUCAUCUCCUGCAUCCUGUCCUCCUCACAGACCCUAGGAUGCUGCAGAUCCCUGAAUACCUUGGGGGCGGCCACCAACAAUAGAAGGUGGAGAGGGUGCCCUUAACCCAGUGGCAGACACGUGCCGCCCCAGCAGUGGGGGUGGCAUCCACAUUCUGUACAGCUCACAGUGCCCAACCCUGACCCCCUGGCCUCCUAACCUAUAGGGCCUCCUGCCAGGUUUUUCUAUCUUUGGUCCAGGGCAAGUUUUGGAAGUCUUGUCCAUACUGAUUGGAUGUUCAUCUAAAAGGAAAUGACAUGGGAAGAAUGUCGAUGCACUUGUCUGACCAGUGUCUCUCCCCAUGUCUGUCCUCAGCAUGCAGAGCUGACCCUGAGGCCCAGGACCAGCAUCUGGGCUCUGCCUUCCUCUUACAGAGACCCCUGUGAGCACCCACCAUACCCAGGCCCUGUGCAAUGCUCUGCUGUGUAACAGGAACAGGCAGGCAGAGUCCCUGCUCUCAAGGGACUCACAUUUAGAGAUUGCAUGGGACACAGAAAACAAAAUUAAAAAACAAACAAAAAAAAAACCAGGACAGAACAGAUGACAGAGAGUGCAACGUGCUGUGAUGUCCAUGACCAGAGGAGGUGAGGGGACCAGAGGGGCAGGGACAGCCACUUCAUUAUGUGUGACUUCUCCUAUCUUGUAGAGCCACAAUUUCUGGUCUAGAGGAACAUGAAAUAAUGCAAGGCCAGGGAUUUGCUUCAAAAUACUCUGUGGUAAGGGUUCCAAGGAAAGCAGAUGGGGGCAGGUUGAGAAUUAUUGAAAGUAGGUUUAUGGCACAAUUCUUGUUAUUUUGUAUACUGUUGAAAACUUCCAUGAAUAAUAAAUUCUCUCUGAAAAGGUGACAUUUCAGCUGAAAUUAAAAAGAUGAGGAGCCAGCCAGGCAAAGAUCAUGUGCCAAUGCCCUGGGCAGUGACUCGCUGACCUUGUCAAGGAGGGAAAGAGGUGAUCCAGAACAGGGGGCAGGGCCUCGUGGGCCCUGGAAAGGGGUUGGGGUUUUAUUUCUUGUGCAGUGAAUCUGUCCAGGUUGGGCAGAUCCAGGAUGUAUUUUGCACAUGGAGGCAACAGGACUUGCUGGUGGGAUGGAUGUGAGGAAGAAGCUCAGAGGAGUCAAAGAUGACAUUUGAGUGUUUGACCAGAAUAACCGGGUGGACAGUGACACCAUUUACCAAAAGGGGGAAGCCUGAGGAGUGUUGGGGAGGGCACGGGCCCUGCUGCAUCUGCCUGCUGGCCUGGCUCCAGCUCUCUACCCACUGGGCUUGGCUGCCAGGACCCCGGCUUCCCAGGGCCAGCAACUGCCUGGCCAACCUAGGACUGCCAGAACCCGUGGUAUCGACGUUUUCGCCAAGGAUGAUUUCAAAACAAUUAUGGCAUCUUCCUCAUUUUCCUUUGAAAACCUUUCUCUGCUUUUUUUUCACCUCCCUAAAUAUGCACAUAGUUUACUCUGGCAUGUGUUUUCCAUGCCUUAUUCCUGAAUAAAUAGCACUUCAGUCUCUGUUUGUUAUUUUGGUUGAUAAAAAUCGUAUCCAGGCACUUCCCAGAAGCCAGAACUAGGCUCUGCCCCUGCUUCCCCAUAGGGACAUAUGCAGGACAGAGGGAAGUCUCUCCCUGACCUGCACCUCCGGUCUGGCAUCAGCCACCAGGGAAGGCACGCUGCCAUCUAGUGGGGGGUGCAGGGGAGACGUGUUCAGUGGUGGCCAACACUCCAGGGACAUGUUCCGGGGAUAUCUUCCUAAUAGUGAAAAUAGGUUUAAAGGUUGUUCUCAAUUAUUUUAAAAAAUAAGCUUCCUUUUACUCCUGGAUAAGCCAUCAACCAGGAGCAGAAUGGCCAUCUACGCAGGUGCUCACAGCUGUGGCAUGGGCUCCCCACUGUGAGACGUCGGUGCUGGCCUGUGUAUGGAGAGGUAGAUGGUAACCUCCAGGGUGGGAAGCCAGUACACCCACAGGCCCACAGAGGAAGCAGCUGAAUGCCCUUCACGGAGGUAGGCUGGGUACCCCCUUUCCCAGGAGCUGCCACCACAGGGAGGCAGAAGGCCCUGGUAGGGCAGGAAGAUUGCCUGGGUCUGCUUUCCUGCCCUGCAACAUGAACUGUAUGGCCCUGGGCAGGCUCUUCCAUCAUGCUUCUCUCUAGUUCUCCAUCCAUACGGGAAAGUUGUCAGAACUAAAAUGGAGUCAUUUGUGUUAAAAAAAUAAAAUAAAGUCCAUGACAGUUAGGGCUAAGAAAGGCUACAAAGAGAGGGUUUUAUGCCUAUAUGCCUGAUAACAAAAAUAUCACAAAAGACUUUGCAAAAACCACAACCUUGCACAAAAGCCAUUGCAGACUUAACACAAAAAAAUACUUCUACAGGAACAUGUGCCCAAGAACUGCCUGUCCAGCCUUGGACUAGUGUCACCCUUGUAACUGAUCUUUUUAGGCAAGAGUAAUGGUCUCAAAACAAUUCCCUAAUCUUCAUUUCUCCUUUAAAAGCCUUUGUCUUCUUUACCUCCCUGAUUAUGCACAUUACUAUGGCACACAUAUUCCCAGUGCCGGGCACCGUUCCUGAAUAAAUACUGUUUUCUUUUAGAGAGAAACUCUCUGUCGUUCAGGUUGACAUAAAUGGUGUCCAGAAGUAGGACCUGGAGUAGGACCACUACUUGAAGAAAUCAGCCACUCUUGGAAUUGGUGUGCAGUCCUCACUUGAGCCCUUGGAGCUCCCUGUUUCUGUGACUUGCUUUCUCUGCCCUGGAGAGUCUUCUCUCAGGCUGAGCCUCCUACUUUUGGGUGGAAGCUCUUGACUUCAUUCAGCAUCUGAUUUGGAUAAGGCCACCGUAAGCCAAAGAGCUUACAUCCCUCCUGAAAUGAUAACAAUUUUUUGUCUUUUCCAGUAAUUCUUUCUGGUAUAAUGACAAAUGUUUUUCUGAUUUGAGCACCCUAGUUUCUACAUAAUUUACAUUUGUUUGUGAGGCAUGUCUUUUCUGGCAAAUUCACUUUUAGUUCUGCAUGCCUAAUUAAAUAUUUGUUUGAUCUGUAUACCCGGGUUAAAAUAUCUGUGAACAAUGACAUUGGUUUGGUUCCAUGUGUCUGUAAGUCAUAUGGAACCAAAAAAGCCCACACAGCCAAAGCAAGACUAAGCAAAAAGAACAAAUCUGGAGGCAUCACAUUACCCAACUUCAAACUAUUCACAUGGCUAUAGUCACCAAAAUAGCAUGGUACUGUUAUAAAAACAGGCACAUAGACCAAUGGAACAGAAUAGAGAAUCCAGAAAUAAACACAAAUACUUACAGCCAACUGAUCUUUGACAAAGCAAACGAAAGCAUAAAGUGGAGAAAGGACACCCUAUUCAACAAAUGGUGCUGGGAUAAUUGGCAAGCCACCAUGUAGAAGAAUAAAACUGGUUCCUCAUCUCUCAACUUAUACAAAAAUCAAUUCAAGAUGAAUCAAAGACUUAAAUCUAAGACCUGAGACUAUAAAAAUUCUAGAAGAUAACAUCAGAAAAACUCUUCUAGACACUGGCUUAGGCAGACACUUCAUGACCAAGAACCCAAAAGCAAAUGCAACAAAAACAAAAAUAUUUGUGGGGGGGUAAAUUGAUGAAAAAAAUUUUGCAUGUAAUUGACUUGGUAAUAAUCAGAAUAAAAUUAUUUAUAAGUCUUCAUAAAGAUUGAGCUCUGAUAUUAAAAAUACAGUAAUACUAAACUAAAAAAUUGGUCUCCUAUAUUAGAACACCAAAGUUUUCUUGAAAUAUUGAUUUGCUAUUAGUAAAAUUGCAAGAGGUUUUGAUUUUUAAUUCUGACUGCUGUUUUCUUUAACAGCCAUCUUCUAAACUGCAGGCAGUUUCUAUUCCUGGCACAUUUUUUCCUGAGAUCCAUUUAAUUUCCCCAGUUUCAGAUAAGGAAUGCAAUCUUUUUCAUGAAGAAUGGUAAUUUUAUUCAUUAAGGUUCUUAUUUCAGAAGUUCAAUUUCUGCUGCAUCCCACUGCACAUGGUCUGCAGGCCAUACACCAUAGCCUGUAGCGCUCCUACUCCCUUCCUCCGAAAAGUUACAGCUUUUUGGUUGGCUGAGGUGAUAACUCUCUUCUCCAACUUUUUCAUCAGCUGCUCCAACUUUUUUCCUCCAGUUCUAACUUGGCUUUUAUGGCCUGGCACUAUAAUGUUUAUCUUGAAGGCCAAGAAAAGCAAUGUUUUCCGCCAAUAUAACUAGAUUAUGUACUCUUGGCUUUUCUUGAUAUGUCUGAAUUGUUCCAUGUUACCAAGAAACUUCACGUGGUUUUACUUUAUCUAAGAGCUCUACAUUCCUCUGCUCAAGGUACUAGUCUUCUUGUUUAUACUCUCCUAUAAUAUGAGUGUACAUUCAUAACACUUGGAUAUGUUCUUUUAUCUCUAAUUGAAUUUAAGGACCCUUUCAUCAGGUUCAAUUCCAAGACUGAACAGGCUUCCCAUGAGAAGAAGCAAUUACAUUGCAGGAGAUUUUUUUUACCUUUUGGUAACUGACCUAAAAGACAAACAAUUUAUAUAUUUAUAUUUUACCAAGAUAAUUUUCUGUGUUGUCUUUAUCAAAUUUUUGAUUACUUAAGAAAACUGAGCUUUGAACAGGUUAAGGUUUUAAAAUAUUUGUAACUUUCUGUAUUGCUUUUGAAGUUUCCUGAUAAUCACUCGAGUUAAAUGAAUGGCUAUUAUUUAACAGUGACCUGUGAUUCUAUUUUGAUCUAUGGCUUUGAAUCUCUUGAUAUUUUUGGUGGGCUUCUCCUGGAUCAAAAUUCUAAAUUAAGUCCUUUUGAACUACAAUUAAUUUUGAGAUUUUCCAGUUGGGCCCUUGGAGAAUAUGCAAGAAGAUAUAUUUUAAUUUAUAGAGGUAUUAAAUGAUUAGGCUUAUUUGGUAAAUUAUAUGACAAGCAUUGUCAAAUGAGAAGUGAGGCUACAUCUUCUUUUAGUCACAUUUAUGGGUAGGUUAUUGAUAGGAAUGUUCUAAAAAUUAUAUGACAAAAUCUAAUAUAUUAUAAGUCAUAAUUUUGGUUGUUAUGUUAAAACUUCUUUAAAGUUGUAUUUAUUUGGCUGUGUUAUUGAUGUGAGUAUUCUAAAGAUUAUAGGAAAUUUAUAAGUCUGAUACUUGUGAUAUGAUGCUGUCAGUCAUGAUUAUGGUUAAUAUCUUAAAUUCCUGCAGGUAAUGGAAACAACUAAAUUUUCUUGUCGAUUGUGAACUUUUAUCAGAUUUUUAACCAUGGCUAUUCUAAGUUUUUUGGAUUCUACUCAAAAAGCAUUUGUAGUCAGUUGUUGUCCAAGUUCUUGUUAUCUGUCUAUAGAGUAGACCACAUCCCGAAUUCUUCUAUGUUCCACCAAUCCAGCCUUCUUCCAUGGAAUUACUAUAAAUGGAAAACUGUUCUGUUCCAAAAGCCCUAUAAGCUGAAACUAGAUGAAUUUUAAGAAAGCAGCCUUGUGCCUGAUGUAUGGGCCACAUAAAAAGUUUACAGUGGCUCACGCCUGUAAUCCCAGCACUUUGGGAGGCCAAGGCGGGUGAAUCACGAGGUCAGGAGAUCGAAACCAUCCUGGCUAACAUGGUGAAACCCUGUCUCUACUAAAAAAUACAAAAAAAAUUAGCCAGGUGUGGUGGCACGCACCUGUAGUCCCAGCUACUCAGGAGGCUGAGGCAGGAGAAUGGCGUGAACCUGGUCGUGCCACUGCACUCCAGCCUGGGCGACAGAGCUAGACUCUGUCUCAAAAAAAUAAAAUAAAAUAAAAUAAAAAAUAAAGUUUACCAAACCAUUUGAUGCCAUGACCAGAGACAAACUGCAAAUCAGGAUGAGAAGUUGACCUUUGCACACUAUAGACAGCUUUUUUCAAGACAUUGGAAAAGACUCCAUAGUAUAAUGAGACUCCUACACUCCUUAAGGUUACCUUUCUAACUUGGCAAGAUAAUGGAGUAAUUGAAAUUUCACAAUUACUACCUUCUGCUUGUAAGUUGACAGAAUCUGACCUAAGAGAUCCUUUGGUAUACAUUGACUAAAUAAGAAAAUGUCUGUACUAUUGCUAAUACUGCAUGCCAUCCCUGGAUAAAUUCCUCUUGGAAAGUCAAUACCAAUAUACACAAAGUAAGAAAACAGGCCACAUGGUUAAAACAGAUCUCACCUAAUUCCUUAUGAUCAUUUGAUUUAUUCAGUGGGUUACUGAUGUGGUUUGGCUGUGUCCCUACCCAAAUCUCAUCUUGAAUUGUAGCUCCCAUAAUUCCCACUUGUUAUAGGAGAGAUCCGGUGGGGGAUAAUUGAAUCAUGGGGGCGGAUUCCUCCAUGCUGCUCUGGUGGUAGUGAAUAAGUCUUAGGAGAUCUGAUGGUUUUAUAUGGGGUUUCUCCUUUGGCUUGGCUCUCAUUCUCUCUUGCCUACCACCAUGUAAGAUGUCUCUUGCUCUUCCAGCAUGAUUGUGAGUCCUCCCCGGCCAAGCGGAACUAUGAGUCAAUUAAACCUCCUUCCUUUGUAACUUACCCAGUCUCAAGUACGUCUUUAUUAGCAGCAUGAGAACAAACUAAUACAGUUGCCUUUAAGCCUAGGUUCAUGGAUAAAAACUAUUAUGCAAAUUGUAUUUUCCAUUUUUAAACUUUUUAUAUGUUACUUGUUAAAUUUUUGCAGAAGUACAACUUGUAACCAUAAUGCUAGCCCAUCACUUUGAGAUAACAGCAAGACUAUGGAACUCACAAAAUUGAACUUAAUAAUGGACUCAAGAUAGACUUAGCCCGAGAGUCACUCCUUUCAAACAUCCUUUAAAGGUCAACUGUGACUAAAAGGGAUUGACACUUACUCCAAGUUGCCAAUUGCUCCCUCCAAAAUGGACCAAGACCUGCAACCAGGACAGGCCCAUCCCAUUAUCCAGGGACAGUCAAAACCUAAUUACAGAAUGAUUGAUUAGUGAGGUGUUUGCAGAAAGAUCUUGAUCAAAAGGGAGAAAUUGUGAAAGUUCUCAGAAUCAAAAUGGAGUUAACAUGUUAAAAAAACAACAAAAAAAUCCUGGCAAGCUGAAUUGGGGAAGUUUAUGAAGAGAAGAUUCACAUGCUUGUAUACCUGAUAACAAAAACUAUCACAAAUCUCUACCAAACUACAACCUUUGCAAAGACCAUUGCAACCUUACUCAAAAAUACUUCUGCAAGGACAUCUGACCCGCAAUUGCCCAUGCAACCUCACAUUGGGGUCACCUCUAUUAUUAUUGAUCUUAGUAGCCAAGAAGAACUAACUCAAACAAUUAUGUAAUCCUUCUCACAUCUCCUGUAAAAUCUAACCUUCCUGAAUAUGCAUGUAGUUUACUAUGGCAUGCGUAUUCC
Molecule: long non-coding RNA, 7965 nt
Filed under: Homo sapiens (human)
Lineage: Eukaryota; Metazoa; Chordata; Mammalia; Primates; Hominidae
Description: HSALNT0357698
Source: RNAcentral